Molecule: signal recognition particle RNA, 268 nt
Filed under: bacterium
Lineage: Bacteria
Also listed under: 1 other name
Description: signal recognition particle sRNA large type
Rfam family: Bacterial large signal recognition particle RNA
About the family: The signal recognition particle (SRP) is a universally conserved ribonucleoprotein involved in the co-translational targeting of proteins to membranes. Archaeal SRP consists of a 7S RNA and homologues of the eukaryotic SRP19 and SRP54 proteins.
Source: RNAcentral
UCGUGCAACGCGGGACGCUAGGGGUGUCCUGUAACCCGAAACCCUCUACAGGCGGGGCGGACGCCCGUCGAAGGAUGCCGAGAUGGCGGGAAACCGGAUCGGUACGAGCGAUGAAGGUCAGGCCCAUACGCUACCUAACCCUCGCCAACCGGGUCAGGUCCGGGAGGAAGCAGCCCUAAACGAAGGAAUCGGUUGCCGUAAGGUCACCGGGCCCGAGCCACCGGCCGCUCCAGGCCCCAAAAUCCGCACUCGACGACGGGCCGCACGG